This 458-nucleotide ribosomal RNA is filed under the name uncultured bacterium. RNAcentral describes it as "partial 16S ribosomal RNA". It matches the Rfam family "Bacterial small subunit ribosomal RNA", at positions 338 to 795 of the family's 1533-position model. The record is from RNAcentral.
CCUACGGGUGGCAGCAGUGAGGACUAUUGGUCAAUGGGCGAGAGCCUGAACCAGCCAAUUCGCUUGAGGGACUACUGCCCUAUGUGUUGCAAACCUCUUUUGUCGGGGAGCAAAAGCCGGACGUGUCCGGCUGUGAGAGUACCCGAAGAAAAAGCAUCGGCUAACGCCGUGCCCGCAGCCGCGGUAAUACGGAGGAUGCGAGCGUUAUCGGGCUUUAUUGGGUUUAAAGGGUGAGCAGGCGGCUUUUUAAGUCAGCGGUAAAAUCUUGGGGCUCAACCCCAUCCAGCCGUUGAAACUGGGGAUCUAGAGAGUGCGAGAGGUAUGCGGAAUGCGUGGUGUAGCGGUGAAAUGCAUAGAUAUCACGCAGAACCCCGAUUGCGAAGGCAGCAUACCGGUGCACAACUGACGCUCAGGCACGAAAGCGUGGGUAUCGAACAGGAUUAGAGACCCGAGUAGUC